UGUGUAGGAGUAGCUGGAGACUGUGAAGCGCUAACGCCAGUUAGUGUGGAGUCGUCGUUGAAUACCAGUCCGGUCGUGCUGGAUGUCUAACCUGGGUCCGUGAUCCGGAUCAGGGACAGUGUCUGAUGGGUAGUUUAACUGGGGCGGUUGCCUCCUAAAGAGUAACGGAGGCGCCCAAAGGUUCCCUCAGCCUGGUUGGCAAUCAGGUGUUGAGUGUAAGUGCACAAGGGAGCUU
Molecule: non-coding RNA, 235 nt
Filed under: Streptomyces afghaniensis 772
Lineage: Bacteria; Bacillati; Actinomycetota; Actinomycetes; Kitasatosporales; Streptomycetaceae
Description: Bacterial large subunit ribosomal RNA
Rfam family: Bacterial large subunit ribosomal RNA
Source: Rfam by way of RNAcentral